This is a long non-coding RNA of Lotus japonicus, 1373 nucleotides long. RefSeq lists it as uncharacterized. The transcript is spliced from 2 exons. NCBI's taxonomy places the organism in Eukaryota, Viridiplantae, Streptophyta, Magnoliopsida, Fabales, Fabaceae. The record is from RefSeq and is a predicted model, not a curated record.
CGUACAUAUUAAUGAACCAUUGAGUCUCCCACUUAGGAUUCCUCCAAUGUAACGGCAACUCCAAGGCAUGAUUGAUUAGAAGUGAUAUAUGGUUGUCGUUGUCCUGGUUCAAAUAUUCUUCCAGAAAUUCGGAGGGAUGAAGACAUUGUUUCACGAGGAAAAGAUAUUUUAGUAAAGCUGAAUGGGAGUGAAGCAAUUUUGAGCAGAGCCAUUAGAAAAUAAUCUAUAUUUUGGACGAAGUUUUCUUCACUCUUUGUGGAUUUGUUAUGUUAUUAUGAAACCCAUGUGCUGUGGUCUGGUCAAUUUGGCUAGCCCGUAAUGAUUUGGUUUUUAACCAAAAGGAAUUUGUUUAUGAGCAUGUGUGGGACCUGCACUUGUUAAGGGUUAUGUCGUGGACAAAAGCAUGGUGGAAAGGUUGUCCCUACUCUAUUGUUGAUUUCUCUUAAAAUUUUGAAAACAUUAAAACUUUGGGAAAAGUGAGGAAGAUAAGAAACUGUGUUUGGUGCCCUCCGGAGGCUAAUAUUCUCAAAUUUAAUGUUGAUGGUUCUGCUAGAGGAUCCCCCGGCAUUAGCGGAGCUGGUGGAAUUCUGAGAAACGUGGAGGGCGCUGUCUUGGGCUGGUUUUCUAAACCUUUGGGGGUUUCUUGGGCUUAUCAAGCUGAAGUAAAAGCCAUUCUUUUGGCGCUGAUUCUUUCCAAAGAAUUUGGGUUCUCUCAAAGUUAUGGUUGAAAGUGAUUCUACACUUGCGGUGGGUUGGGUCCGUUGCAAAUCCAAUAGACCUCUAGCGCUUAUAAAUGAUCUGAAUGCUAUCGAUUGGAUUAUGAAGGAGCUUGCGUGGGAGUGGCUCAUACACUUAGAGAAGCAAAUGGUGAGGCCGAUGAAUUAGCAAAGUCAGGGUGCGAUAGAAUUGAACCAAUCUGGGAGAAGCUGAACUGAAUUUUCCUUACUCUAUGACUAUAUAUAUUUUACUGCAUGUUUUCUUUACAGCUCCUCUGCCAAUGGUAGUGUUUCCCUGCACUGGUAUUUGCACAUUAUGCUGUGAUCAUGAAGCUGUGUUAUUUGCUAGUUCCUACUUGUUGUUAUCCUAGGUGAUUGGUCUACUGAAGCUUGGCUGAUGGCUCGUGGCUUUCUAUAAUAGAGGGGAAUUGUUUGAAGGCUGCUCUCUCUUGAAUGCUUUGCCCCCAUUAUUAUUUUCAUUUUCUGCCCCUUGUAAUGCUUUCUGUUCUGCAUCUGCGCUCUUUUUCUUUUUGCUGUCCGUGUAGUCCUUUGUGUGGAACUUUGGUGCUGCAUCUUGUACUGUUUCUUUGAGCUACCUUUUUGCUCUUGGUUACCUCUCCUUAUCAAUAAAGAUUUUGCUUUCAAAAAAAAAUGAAA